Molecule: non-coding RNA, 65 nt
Filed under: Humibacillus sp. DSM 29435
Lineage: Bacteria; Bacillati; Actinomycetota; Actinomycetes; Micrococcales; Intrasporangiaceae
Also listed under: 1 other name
Source: RNAcentral
CCGGAACGCCGUGCCGGGGUUCGCGGACGAGGGAGCCGUACCCGCCCAGUGACAAGACGGCCAGA